Molecule: ribosomal RNA, 489 nt
Filed under: uncultured Candida
Lineage: Eukaryota; Fungi; Ascomycota; Saccharomycetes; Saccharomycetales
Description: eukaryotic LSU rRNA
Rfam family: Eukaryotic large subunit ribosomal RNA
Source: RNAcentral
AAACCAACAGGGAUUGCCUUAGUAACGGCGAGUGAAGCGGCAAAAAGCUCAAAUUUGAAAUCGGCGCCUUUUAGGUGUUCGAGUUGUAAUUUGGAGAAGCAACUUUUUGUAUCAGCUCUGGCGGAAGUCUCUUGGAACAGUGCGCCAUAGAGGGUGAGAGCCCCGUUCCACUGGAGGACUGGUACAUUGCAAAGUGCUUUCAAAGAGUCGAGUUGUUUGGGAAUGCAGCUCUAAGUGGGUGGUAAAUUCCAUCUAAAGCUAAAUAUUGGCGAGAGACCGAUAGCGAACAAGUACAGUGAUGGAAAGAUGAAAAGCACUUUGAAAAGAGAGUGAAAAAGUACGUGAAAUUGCUGAAAGGGAAGGGCUUGAAAUCAGACUUGGCUUGUUGCCAUCAUCCAUCUCUUGGGGUGUGUACUGGUAGCUUGCUGGGCCAGCAUGGGUUUGAGGAGUCAUAAUGUUCAAAGAUGUGGCUUGAUGCUUCGGUAUUCG